This 561-nucleotide ribosomal RNA is filed under the name uncultured bacterium. Its description in RNAcentral is "bacterial SSU rRNA". It matches the Rfam family "Bacterial small subunit ribosomal RNA", at positions 338 to 916 of the family's 1533-position model. The record is from RNAcentral.
CCUACGGGAGGCAGCAGUGGGGAAUCUUGCGCAAUGGGCGAAAGCCUGACGCAGCCAUGCCGCGUGAAUGAUGAAGGUCUUAGGAUUGUAAAAUUCUUUCACCGGGGACGAUAAUGACGGUACCCGGAGAAGAAGCCCCGGCUAACUUCGUGCCAGCAGCCGCGGUAAUACGAAGGGGGCUAGCGUUGCUCGGAAUUACUGGGCGUAAAGGGAGCGUAGGCGGAUAGUUUAGUCAGAGGUGAAAGCCCAGGGCUCAACCUUGGAAUUGCCUUUGAUACUGGCUAUCUUGAGUACGGAAGAGGUAUGUGGAACUCCGAGUGUAGAGGUGAAAUUCGUAGAUAUUCGGAAGAACACCAGUGGCGAAGGCGACAUACUGGUCCGUUACUGACGCUGAGGCUCGAAAGCGUGGGGAGCAAACAGGAUUAGAUACCCUGGUAGUCCACGCUGUAAACGAUGAGUGCUAGUUGUCGGCAUGCAUGCAUGUCGGUGACGCAGCUAACGCAUUAAGCACUCCGCCUGGGGAGUACGGUCGCAAGAUUAAAACUCAAAAUGAAUUGACGG